Molecule: ribosomal RNA, 274 nt
Filed under: uncultured bacterium
Lineage: Bacteria
Description: partial 16S ribosomal RNA
Rfam family: Bacterial small subunit ribosomal RNA
Source: RNAcentral
AUACGGAGGGGGUUAGCGUUGUUCGGAAUUACUGGGCGUAAAGCGCACGUAGGCGGACUGGAAAGUUGGGGGUGAAAUCCCGGGACUCAACCCCGGAACUGCCUCCAAAACUUCCAAUCUAGAGAUCGAGAGAGGUGAGUGGAAUUCCAAGUGUAGAGGUGAAAUUCGUAGAUAUUUGGAGGAACACCAGUGGCGAAGGCAGCUCACUGGCUCGAUACUGACGCUGAGGUGCGAAAGCGUGGGGAGCAAACAGGAUUAGAUACCCUAGUAGUCC